Molecule: non-coding RNA, 75 nt
Organism: Trichonephila inaurata madagascariensis
Lineage: Eukaryota; Metazoa; Arthropoda; Arachnida; Araneae; Nephilidae
Source: the annotation of a GenBank genome assembly
GCCGAAAAUAGCUCAAUUGGGAGAGCGUUAAGACUGAAAGAUCAAAGGUCCCUGUAGUUCAAUCGGGUUUCGGCA